Molecule: ribosomal RNA, 434 nt
Filed under: uncultured bacterium
Lineage: Bacteria
Description: bacterial SSU rRNA
Rfam family: Bacterial small subunit ribosomal RNA
Source: RNAcentral
GUGGGGAAUAUUGCACAAUGGGCGAAAGCCUGAUGCAGCGACGCCGCGUGAGGGAUGACGGCCUUCGGGUUGUAAACCUCUUUCAGCAGGGAAGAAGGCCUUCGGGUGGACGGUACCUGCAGAAGAAGCGCCGGCUAACUACGUGCCAGCAGCCGCGGUAAUACGUAGGGCGCAAGCGUUGUCCGGAAUUAUUGGGCGUAAAGAGCUCGUAGGCGGUCUGUCGCGUCUGGUGUGAAAUCCCGAGGCUCAACCUCGGGCUUGCAUCGGGUACGGGCAGACUAGAGUACUGUAGGGGAGACUGGAAUUCCUGGUGUAGCGGUGGAAUGCGCAGAUAUCAGGAGGAACACCGAUGGCGAAGGCAGGUCUCUGGGCAGUUACUGACGCUGAGGAGCGAAAGCAUGGGGAGCGAACAGGAUUAGAAACCCUAGUAGUCC